Molecule: ribosomal RNA, 430 nt
Filed under: uncultured bacterium
Lineage: Bacteria
Description: bacterial SSU rRNA
Rfam family: Bacterial small subunit ribosomal RNA
Source: RNAcentral
AACGCGAAGAACCUUACCAGAACUUGACAUCCUCCUGACAGGCCUUUAAUCGGGCCCUUCUUCGGACAGGAGAGACAGGUGGUGCAUGGUUGUCGUCAGCUCGUGUCGUGAGAUGUUGGGUUAAGUCCCGCAACGAGCGCAACCCUUGUCAUUAGUUGCUAACAUUAAGUUGAGGACUCUAAUGAGACUGCCGGGGACAACUUGGAGGAAGGUGGGGAUGACGUCAAAUCAUCAUGCCCCUUAUGUUCUGGGCUACACACGUGCUACAAUGGCCGGUACAACGAGAAGCGAAGUCGCAAGGCGGAGCAAACCUCAAAAACCGGUCCCAGUUCGGAUUGCAGGCUGAAACCCGCCUGCAUGAAGCCGGAGUUGCUAGUAAUCGCGAAUCAGAAUGUCGCGGUGAAUGCGUUCCCGGGUCUUGUACACACCG